UACAGGGGGGGCAAGCGUUGUUCGGAAUUACUGGGCGUAAAGGGUUCGUAGGUGGCCACUUAAGUCAGACGUGAAAUCCCUCAGCUUAACUGGGGAACUGCGUCUGAUACUGGGUGGCUUGAGUGCAGGAGAGGAAUGCGGAAUUCCAGGUGUAGCGGUGAAAUGCGUAGAUAUCUGGAGGAACACCGGUGGCGAAGGCGGCAUUCUGGACUGUAACUGACACUGAGGAACGAAAGCGUGGGGAGCAAACAGG
Molecule: ribosomal RNA, 253 nt
Filed under: uncultured bacterium
Lineage: Bacteria
Description: partial 16S ribosomal RNA
Rfam family: Bacterial small subunit ribosomal RNA
Source: RNAcentral